CAUAUCUCUCUUACGGGAAGGAUGAGAAGCUUCGACUAAGGUUCGAUUGGAGCGAAAGCGAGAAAGCGUUGCCGCAGGCAACGACCCGAAGGGCGAAGCGCGCAGCGCUGAGUCAUCCUUCCCCCACCACCA
Molecule: small RNA, 132 nt
Filed under: Salmonella enterica subsp. enterica
Lineage: Bacteria; Pseudomonadati; Pseudomonadota; Gammaproteobacteria; Enterobacterales; Enterobacteriaceae
Description: RtT sRNA
Rfam family: RtT RNA
About the family: This family represents a bacterial cis-regulatory element known as RtT RNA. The exact function of RtT is unknown although it is thought that it may be involved in changing the cellular response in relation to amino acid starvation.
Source: RNAcentral